AAAAGCGAUACCGAAAGGUACCCGCACCCGUGUCUACAUACUCUUGUUGCUUUGGCAGGCCGUGGUCUUCCACUGUGGGCUCUGCCUGCAUGUGCUUGCCAGAGGACCAAACUCUGAAUUUUAGUGAUGUCUGAGUACUAUAUAAUAGUUA
This 151-nucleotide unclassified non-coding RNA is filed under the name uncultured Acephala. RNAcentral describes it as "sequence contains ITS1". Lineage: Eukaryota; Fungi; Ascomycota; Leotiomycetes; Helotiales. The record is from RNAcentral.